RNAcentral lists this ribosomal RNA (388 nucleotides) under Hymenopellis sp. Its description in RNAcentral is "partial small subunit ribosomal RNA". It matches the Rfam family "Eukaryotic small subunit ribosomal RNA", at positions 582 to 975 of the family's 1831-position model. Lineage: Eukaryota; Fungi; Basidiomycota; Agaricomycetes; Agaricales; Physalacriaceae. The record is from RNAcentral.
AUUCCAGCUCCAAUAGCGUAUAUUAAAGUUGUUGCAGUUAAAAAGCUCGUAGUUGAACUUCAGGCUUGGUUGGGCGGUCCGCCUCACGGCGUGUACUGUCUGACUGGGUCUUACCUCUUGGUGAGCCAGCGUGGCCUUUAUUGGUUGCGUUGGGGAACCAGGACUUUUACCUUGAGAAAAUUAGAGUGUUCAAAGCAGGCCUAUGUCCGAAUACAUUAGCAUGGAAUAAUAAAAUAGGACGUGCGAUCCUAUUUUGUUGGUUUCUAGAGUCGCCGUAAUGAUUAAUAGGGAUAGUUGGGGGCAUUGGUAUUGAGUCGCUAGAGGUGAAAUUCUUGGAUUGACUCAAGACCAACUACUGCGAAAGCAUUUGCCAAGGAUGUUUUCAUUA